Equus asinus (donkey) is the source of this 107-nucleotide small nuclear RNA. NCBI's taxonomy places the organism in Eukaryota, Metazoa, Chordata, Mammalia, Perissodactyla, Equidae. The record is from Ensembl.
GUGCUUGCUUCCGCAGCACAUAUACUAAAAUUGGAAGGAUACAGAGUAGAUUAGCAUGGCCCCUGCACAAGGAUUACAUGCAAAUUCAUGAAGUGUUCCAUAUUUUU